Molecule: ribosomal RNA, 484 nt
Filed under: uncultured bacterium
Lineage: Bacteria
Description: partial 16S ribosomal RNA
Rfam family: Bacterial small subunit ribosomal RNA
Source: RNAcentral
AUUGAACGCUGGCGGAAUGCUUUACACAUGCAAGUCGAACGGCAGCACGGGGGCAACCCUGGUGGCGAGUGGCGAACGGGUGAGUAAUACAUCUGAACGUGCCCGGUCGUGGGGGAUAACGUAGCGAAAGUUACGCUAAUACCGCAUACGAUCUGAGGAUGAAAGCGGGGGACCUUCGGGCCUCGCGCGAUCGGAGCGGCCGAUGUCAGAUUAGGUAGUUGGUGGGGUAAAGGCCUACCAAGCCGACGAUCUGUAGCUGGUCUGAGAGGACGACCAGCCACACUGGGACUGAGACACGGCCCAGACUCCUACGGGAGGCAGCAGUGGGGAAUUUUGGACAAUGGGCGCAAGCCUGAUCCAGCCAUUCCGCGUGCAGGACGAAGGCCUUCGGGUUGUAAACUGCUUUUGUAUGGAACGAAAAGGCUCUGGCUAAUACCUGGGGCUCAUGACGGUACCGUAAGAAUAAGCACCGGCUAACUACGUG